AGGUCUGGCGCACCAGCGGAUCGGAGAAGUCCGACAGGCGGAACGGAUCGAAAUAUCCGCCGGGAUUGGCGGUCAUCCACGCAUAGAUCCGCGCCGAACCGAGCCACUGCAGGAAGAGGUAGCAUGCCUCCGGGUUCUUUGCUUGCGAGGACACGGAAGCCGAGAGAUUGAGCCACAGCACCGAGCGGCUCACCAUCUUGCCGUCGACCUCGCGGCCGGGCGG
Molecule: non-coding RNA, 223 nt
Filed under: Mesorhizobium alhagi CCNWXJ12-2
Lineage: Bacteria; Pseudomonadati; Pseudomonadota; Alphaproteobacteria; Hyphomicrobiales; Phyllobacteriaceae
Description: Ruegeria cis90 sRNA
Rfam family: Ruegeria cis90 sRNA
About the family: Cis-encoded. Targets ABC transporter.
Source: Rfam by way of RNAcentral